UGAUAUGUAGCCCAGAAGGUAGAGCAUCCGCCUAGCAGGCAUGAAGCCCUGGGUUCAAUUCCCAGCACUGCAG
This 73-nucleotide transfer RNA is filed under the name Mesocricetus auratus (golden hamster). It matches the Rfam family "tRNA". From Rfam's summary of the family: Transfer RNA (tRNA) molecules are approximately 80 nucleotides in length. Their secondary structure includes four short double-helical elements and three loops (D, anti-codon, and T loops). Further hydrogen bonds mediate the characteristic L-shaped molecular structure. tRNAs have two regions of fundamental functional importance: the anti-codon, which is responsible for specific mRNA codon recognition, and the 3' end, to which the tRNAs corresponding amino acid is attached (by aminoacyl-tRNA synthetases). tRNAs cope with the degeneracy of the genetic code in two manners: having more than one tRNA (with a specific anti-codon) for a particular amino acid; and 'wobble' base-pairing, i.e. permitting non-standard base-pairing at the 3rd anti-codon position. The record is from Rfam by way of RNAcentral. Lineage: Eukaryota; Metazoa; Chordata; Mammalia; Rodentia; Cricetidae.